UACGUAGGGUGCGAGCGUUAAUCGGAAUUACUGGGCGUAAAGCGUGCGCAGGCGGUUCUCCAAGUCCGUUGUGAAGGCCCCGGGCUCAACCUGGGAAUGGCAGUGGAAACUAGGGGACUGGAAUCUGGCAGAGGGGGGUGGAAUGCCGCGUGUAGCAGUGAAAUGCGUAGAGAUGCGGCGGAACACCGAUGGCGAAGGCAGCCCCCUGGGCUGAGAUUGACGCUCAGGCACGAAAGCGUGGGGAGCAAACAGG
This 253-nucleotide ribosomal RNA is filed under the name uncultured bacterium. RNAcentral's name for it is "partial 16S ribosomal RNA". It matches the Rfam family "Bacterial small subunit ribosomal RNA", at positions 524 to 776 of the family's 1533-position model. The record is from RNAcentral.